CUAACGCUUGAACACUCAGCCAUCUUACC
RNAcentral lists this transfer RNA (29 nucleotides) under Amazona leucocephala (cuban parrot). RNAcentral's name for it is "partial tRNA-Tyr". Lineage: Eukaryota; Metazoa; Chordata; Aves; Psittaciformes; Psittacidae. The record is from RNAcentral.